This 252-nucleotide ribosomal RNA is filed under the name uncultured bacterium. Its description in RNAcentral is "partial 16S ribosomal RNA". It matches the Rfam family "Bacterial small subunit ribosomal RNA", at positions 524 to 776 of the family's 1533-position model. The record is from RNAcentral.
UACGUAGGGUGCGAGCGUUAAUCGGAAUACUGGGCGUAAAGCGUGCGCAGGCGGUGAUGUAAGACAGGUGUGAAAUCCCGGGGCUCAACCUCGGAACUGCAUUUGUGACUGCAUCGCUGGAGUGCGGCAGAGGGGGAUGGAAUUCCGCGUGUAGCAGUGAAAUGCGUAGAUAUGCGGAGGAACACCGAUGGCGAAGGCAAUCCCCUGGGCCUGCACUGACGCUCAUGCACGAAAGCGUGGGGAGCAAACAGG